UAUACUUUAGUAUAAAAUGUACAAAGAUUUUUGGUAUCUUAGGAAAUAGUUUAAUUCUAUUAAGUAUAA
RNAcentral lists this transfer RNA (69 nucleotides) under Chrysomelidae sp. SOIL MMG Contig15. Its description in RNAcentral is "tRNA-Gln". Lineage: Eukaryota; Metazoa; Arthropoda; Insecta; Coleoptera; Chrysomelidae. The record is from RNAcentral.